CAGCAGCCACGGUAAUACGUAGGGUGCGGGCGUUAAUCGGAAUUACUGGGCGUAAAGCGUGCGCAGGCGGUUGUGUAAGACAGGUGUGAAAUCCCCGGGCUUAACCUGGGAACUGCGCUUGUGACUGCACAGCUAGAGUAUGGCAGAGGGGGGUGGAAUUCCACGUGUAGCAGUGAAAUGCGUAGAGAUGUGGAGGAACACCGAUGGCGAAGGCAGCCCCCUGGGCCAAUACUGACGCUCAUGCACGAAAGCGUGGGGAGCAAACAGGAUUAGAUACCCGUGUAGUCCCUGUCUCUUAUAC
This 301-nucleotide ribosomal RNA is filed under the name uncultured bacterium. Its description in RNAcentral is "partial 16S ribosomal RNA". It matches the Rfam family "Bacterial small subunit ribosomal RNA", at positions 509 to 807 of the family's 1533-position model. The record is from RNAcentral.